GUGCUUGCUUCAGCAGCUCAAACACUAAAAUUAGAAUACAGAAAAGAUCAAAUGGCCCCUGCGCACAGAUGACAUCCAAAUUCACGAAGGAUCCCAUAUUUUU
This is a small nuclear RNA of Leptonychotes weddellii (Weddell seal), 103 nucleotides long. The record is from RefSeq and is a predicted model, not a curated record. NCBI's taxonomy places the organism in Eukaryota, Metazoa, Chordata, Mammalia, Carnivora, Phocidae.